CAGGGUCAUGAUUCUGCUCUUUGCCAGGCCCAUAUUCCUCAAGAUCACAAACUCAACUAGGGCCUGGUCACUGCAGCCCAGACAGCCUCUAGUCUUGACCUCCCUAAUGAGCUCUUCCAUGUUGCUAAGCACCAGGUCCAGCAACAUUUCUCCUCUGGUUGGUUUGUCUAAUACCUGUACCAGGAAAUUAUCCUCAACAUACUCUAGGAUUGCUUACAGCCUGCUGUGUAGUUUUCCCAGCAGACGUCCAGGAGAGUCAGAUUCCUCCUUGUGGUUUUGCUGCACAACCAGGAAUAGGUGACCUGGUGGUGUGUUUCUGCAACUAUUGUCAGAAAACAAAUAUGCUCAGGACAGGUCUUUUGCCUAAGGCAAACCAAAGCCAAUGGAAAUCCUGCUAUCAGCUUCAACAGCCUCUGAAUGAAGUCUGAAUUCUGCCAAGUGCAGGUAAUUUGACUGCAGAUACCACGGUGCAAAAGAAUAAAAUAGCUGUGCAUUGGGUUUAGCUUAGCA
Molecule: long non-coding RNA, 510 nt
Filed under: Anas platyrhynchos platyrhynchos (common mallard)
Lineage: Eukaryota; Metazoa; Chordata; Aves; Anseriformes; Anatidae
Description: lncRNA (ENSAPLG00000016695.1)
Source: RNAcentral